RNAcentral lists this ribosomal RNA (500 nucleotides) under uncultured Glomeromycotina. Its description in RNAcentral is "partial small subunit ribosomal RNA". It matches the Rfam family "Eukaryotic small subunit ribosomal RNA", at positions 591 to 1092 of the family's 1831-position model. The record is from RNAcentral. Lineage: Eukaryota; Fungi; Glomeromycota.
CCAAUAGCGUAUAUUAAAGUUGUUGCAGUUAAAAAGCUCGUAGUUGAAUUUCGGGGUCAGCAGGUUGGUCGUGCCUAUGGUAUGCACUGGCUUUACUGAUUCCUCCUUCUUGAAGAACUGUAAUGUCAUUAAUUUGGUGUUGCAGGGAAACAGGACUGUUACUUUGAAAAAAUUAGAGUGUUUAAAGCAGGCUAACGCUUGAAUACAUUAGCAUGGAAUAAUGAAAUAGGACGUUUGAUCCUAUUUUGUUGGUUUCUAGGAUUGACGUAAUGAUUAAUAGGGAUAGUUGGGGGCAUUAGUAUUCAAUUGUCAGAGGUGAAAUUCUUGGAUUUAUUGAAGACUAACUACUGCGAAAGCAUUUGCCAAGGAUGUUUUCAUUAAUCAAGAACGAAAGUUAGGGGAUCGAAGACGAUCAGAUACCGUCGUAGUCUUAACCAUAAACUAUGCCGACUAGGGAUCGGAUGAUGUUAAUUUUUUAAUGACUCAUUCGGCGCCUUACA